CCUCUCUCCACGUCCACGGCGCCGAGUCUCGCCACGGUGGCGCAGGCGCCAGGGAGGUUCCCCGGCUUUGCCGCGCGGAGGAAGUCCCGGUUACGCAGAGCGCGCUGGGGCAGGGCUGACCUUCCCCUUUCUCUACUUCACUGGCCUCCUCCAGACGUGGUGGUUGCGCCCUUUCGGCCUCGCUUUCCGUUUUUUGGCUUCAUCCCCUAGAUCUGCAAACAGUUCCUCGUGUUUCUUCCGUUAGCCGGGAAACGCGAACUGCAGCGUUUGGGACCCGGGUUUGCGCGUGUGGAAAGCAAAAGGGGUUACUCUGCUGGAGUUCGACAUUGCAAAUAAAGGUCUUUAUCCCCGGCGGUUCUACAAAAUUAGUUCUGCAGGGAUUCUGGUUGAAAGAAGCGUUAAAGUGGGCCUUGUAGGAGUCAGCAAUAAUCCAAUUUUACAUGGGUGCAGGUGGCUGCCUGUGUCUAGCGCUUUCACACAUCUCAUAUCUUCAUCCACGCCGUGGGUAUUUUUUUUCCACGGUGUGUUUCUGUUGCUGCCUCCAGUAUAUUGCUUAAUCAUCCUACCUGGUAAUUAUUUAUGCAUUUUUCUCCUACUCUCGACUCAGCUCCUAGGGAAUAAAAACACAUUAACUUAUCUUUGUGCCCACAGCACCCACCAAGUAUUUCCAUCACGUAAUACUGCCUCUAGAAAGGCAGGAGGAGAAGCAGUCACGCUAAGGAUCUAGGCAAGCCAGAUCUUUUGUCCGGUUUUAGGAGGUGGCCAGCCCUUACUUAUUCCACAAGUGUUUUUCCAGAAACUCAGACUUGAUAUUGCCUCAAGUCCAAGGCAGUGUGCUUCCCCCACUCACAUAUCACUAAUAGUAGCUAACAUUUGUUCAGAUCCCUGUAUGUACUCUGCCACUGUUUUAAAUGUUACACCCGGGUUACCUCAUUUAAUCCUUACAACUGCCCUGUGAGGUAGGUACUAUUAUUAUCUCUACUUUGUAGAUGGGAUUCACCGAGGCACAGACGGUUAAAAAACCUAGCCCAAAUAACACAAAUAAACAGCAGAGCAUGCAGUGCUAGAGUCUGCAUUCUUAACAAUUGCUAUAUUCUCCCUCUCCGUGAAUGUGGGCUGAGAUGCUGAAACAGGCAUGUGCUGUGGGGGAGAAAAAGCUUUGUCCAACCAAGUGCUUUCUAAUGUCCAGAUGACAUAGAGCUAGGAUUUCCUAAUGUCUUUUUUCCCCUAUUUUUCUCUCCAUUUCAGGGUUGAGUUUGUGCAUCGAUUGUGAACACAACAGGCAGCAGGCUAUAAUGGUGGUCCUGGCUGGAGUAGUUUUCACAGACUUCAGUAAUCUGUGGAGAUGAACGGGCAGUUCUCUGUAGUUUUCACAGAUCACUGCCAGUUCGUUUUGAGGCCUUCAGGAGUGAAGACCUGGCUCAUCAUCACUCUUUGUUGUUUUGUUAAAUUUAUUUACACCCUACUUUAUUCCAGAGGAAAGGAUUUAACGUAGUUUACAUAAAUGUGUACAUCAGGGUAAAUUAAAAAUAAGUACAGAGAAAAAUAGGACAAAAGAAAACCGUGAGUGUGAAAGAUAAGAUUAAGCCAGCAGUUUUGUAUGCAAAAUGCAUGGUGUAAGGUCCUAUUGGUUUGCUGGAGGUAGGCCACACAUAUGACUCUCAGUUUUCUAGCAACCAAGAAAAAGAUCAGUUGCAAUCGGAGUAGGUGUUUUGGCUAAGCUGGAACUAGGACUUGAAUAUAGCAGCUUGUAGAGUUAUACCACUUGCCCAAAUCUCUUCCAUGAGCCUCUUUAAGUGUAACAGAAUGCCUGGGAGCACGUAAAUGCUCCUACUUAGAUGCCUACUUAGCCUCUAAUUUUCAUGGGGCCCAUGAAUCCCAUGAAAAAGAACUUUGAACCCUGUCCACAAUUAGAGUUCAGGUAUACGCAGACAUGUUUAAAGACAAGGGACACCCAAAGGAAAGAUUGCACAGAGAGAAAGUGAGCAUCCGAGAGAAAAUCACCACAAGUGAGGCAGAGGGAGGCCGGUCUCAGCAGAGUUUUGGAGGUCGUGAGAAGAAGAGGUAGGAGAUAGGAGAGUGGUUCCGAGUACUUGCCUGCUGAUGUUACCUUCUCCACCCCCACCAGGUUUUCCAGUGCCUGGAGUCUUGGGCAGGAAUGGGCCACUGUAAGAAAGAGCUUUAUCACUAGGGCCUCAGCCAACUUUUCUGUGGGAUAUCCCUCCAAAAUAAUUAAGAGUUCAGAAUGCUUCAGAUUUUGAAGUGAAACUGGUACAUAUAUUAAGUGUUACUUAAUAACCCGAUAGUUUCUAGGGCAGCUCACCAUAAUCCCAAGUAUUAGCCACCACCCUCACCCCCUUCAGAGUAAAAUGUGUUUCCUGAAGGAAGUUGGGAAAAUGAAGAAAAAAAAUACAAAAAUCACCUAUAAUCUUACCAGUCAUAGAUGGCAGUUUUCCUGUCUUAUUUCUGAAUAAUGGUUGUUAAACAUUUGCCAGCACACCAUAAGGCUUAGGGAGGCAUCUGGGUCAUGCAUGUUAAUAUCCUUGGGUAAUUCCAGAAAUCUCUAUGAAGGGAAACUCCUGUUAUUUAUCUAGACUUCCUGAUUGCAAGGGGUUUGGGCAUCAUGAUUUAGGGGUCUUAAUAAAAUUAUUAUUUUAUUUUUACUAAUAGAUAAUGUCUGUGCCUAUCAGAUAAAGGCAAACCAGUGCUCAGAGGAACCCAACCAUCUCUGAAUUGAGACCAGAGAGCUGUCUCUAUGGAUAGUCCUUAGAGAAGGCAUUUCGGAACACAGUAAACAGCAGCCUGGUGACUCCGAUUACAGGGCCAGUUGCCUUUGUUACAAUAAAAGCAAGUCAUCUACACAGAUUUUUCCUACCAGGAAGAGCAUGUGCUGACCAACAGACAUGAAUUUCAGCCUGGUAGUUACAACAUUCACAGUAUACCCACAUCACUAAGCUGGGAGGCACAUUUUGAGACCCAGAAUCCUGACACCUCCAUGCCUUCAAAAGGAUACCGAGGUCUCCCUGUAUUGCCCAGGCUGGUCUCAAAC
Molecule: long non-coding RNA, 3049 nt
Filed under: Homo sapiens (human)
Lineage: Eukaryota; Metazoa; Chordata; Mammalia; Primates; Hominidae
Description: HSALNT0301398
Source: RNAcentral